This 254-nucleotide ribosomal RNA is filed under the name uncultured bacterium. Its description in RNAcentral is "partial 16S ribosomal RNA". It matches the Rfam family "Bacterial small subunit ribosomal RNA", at positions 524 to 776 of the family's 1533-position model. The record is from RNAcentral.
UACGUAGGGAGCGAGCGUUGUCCGGAUUCAUUGGGCGUAAAGAGCUCGUAGGCGGCUUGGCAAGUCGGGUGUGAAAACUCCAGGCUCAACCUGGAGACGCCACCCGAUACUGCCAUGGCUAGAGUCCGGUAGGGGACCACGGAAUUCCUGGUGUAGCGGUGAAAUGCGCAGAUAUCAGGAGGAACACCGGUGGCGAAGGCGGUGGUCUGGGCCGGAACUGACGCUGAGGAGCGAAAGCGUGGGGAGCGAACAUG